Molecule: ribosomal RNA, 509 nt
Filed under: uncultured bacterium
Lineage: Bacteria
Description: bacterial SSU rRNA
Rfam family: Bacterial small subunit ribosomal RNA
Source: RNAcentral
GAUGAACGCUAGCUACAGGCUUAACACAUGCAAGUCGAGGGGAAACGACAUUGAAGCUUGCUUCGAUGGGCGUCGACCGGCGCACGGGUGAGUAACGCGUAUCCAACCUGCCUCUGACUAAGGGAUAACCCGGCGAAAGUCGGACUAAUACCUUAUGAGGUUUUCUGCAGACAUCUAACGAAAACGAAAGAUUUAUCGGUCAGCGAUGGGGAUGCGUCUGAUUAGCUUGUUGGCGGGGUAACGGCCCACCAAGGCAACGAUCAGUAGGGGUUCUGAGAGGAAGGUCCCCCACAUUGGAACUGAGACACGGUCCAAACUCCUACGGGAGGCAGCAGUGAGGAAUAUUGGUCAAUGGGCGAGAGCCUGAACCAGCCAAGUAGCGUGCAGGAAGACGGCCCUAUGGGUUGUAAACUGCUUUUAUGUGGGGAUAAAGUGAGCUACGUGUAGUUUAUUGCAGGUACCACAUGAAUAAGGACCGGCUAAUUCCGUGCCAGCCGCCGCAGUAAGAC